UUCGUAUCACAAGAAUAGUGUUUUGUGUGCGUAAGAAAGAAGGAAUGGCAGCCCAUAACGGUCUUUCUCUUCUCUUUAUUGCCAGUGCAUACAAGGGCGGGUGGUAACGGCCAAUAUCUUGAGAUUUCUGAAACCCAAGCCAUUGUCACUUCCCAUGCUGAUCAUGUAUCGCCUAUAUAUAUUAAGCUUUCAUGUGACCUCGAGCACUUCAUGAAAAGAAAGAGAGAGACGGCAUGGCAACGCCUAAGGAAGAUGAAAGAAGGCUUUAUCAAUGUGCAAGAAAGUAUGAAAAAAUUGUAAAACAGCUGAGUGAGAUGAUGAACACCAGAACCAGACUGCCAAAGCGACGACGAGUAUCCUCAACUAUAACAAAAUUUCUCAACGAAAUGCGGGCUAACCCUUCAACAGAUACUGAUGGCUCUGCAAGUACAAGAGAAAGAGAUCCAGAAUAGUUUCGUUUCUUAUAGGAAUAACUCAUGUCGUUUUCAACAGUCUAGGAAAAGAUGCCAUACAGAUAGUUUCUACUAGAUUGCCUGAAGGGAAGUGACAGGGAUAAUGGAAAUGAAUGACAGUGCUAUAUGCCUACGUUAGCAUGUCUAUAUGUAACUAUGUUCAAGUUCUAAGAGAAAGAAAGAUAAUUUCUUUCUACAAACUUUUUAAAGGGAAUUGUCCGGUAUAAGAAAGUUCCUUUUAAUUUCUUUGUA
Molecule: long non-coding RNA, 704 nt
Organism: Populus trichocarpa (black cottonwood)
Lineage: Eukaryota; Viridiplantae; Streptophyta; Magnoliopsida; Malpighiales; Salicaceae
Exons: 3
Source: RefSeq, a predicted model, not a curated record